RNAcentral lists this ribosomal RNA (722 nucleotides) under uncultured bacterium. RNAcentral's name for it is "bacterial SSU rRNA". It matches the Rfam family "Bacterial small subunit ribosomal RNA", at positions 761 to 1482 of the family's 1533-position model. The record is from RNAcentral.
AUGGGUAGCAAAGAGGAUUAGAUACCCUCGUAGUCCAUACCAUAAACGAUGAUUGCUAGAUGUUGGAAAUUUAUUUUCAGUAUCGCAGCUAACGCAUUAAGCAAUCCGCCUGGGGAGUACGACCGCAAGGUUAAAACUCAAAUGAAUUGACGGGGACCCGCACAAGCGGUGGAGCAUGUGGUUUAAUUCGAAGAUACGCGCAGAACCUUACCAACCCUUGACAUGUCUGUCGCGAGUUUAGGAAACUAGACUUUUCGGUUCGGCCGGACAGAACACAGGUGCUGCAUGGCUGUCGUCAGCUCGUGUCGUGAGAUGUUGGGUUAAGUCCCGCAACGAGCGUAACCCCUACUUUUAGUUGCCAUCAGGUCAUGCUGGGCACUCUGAAAGAACUGCCAGUGAUAAGCUGGAGGAAGGUGGGGAUGACGUCAAGUCCUCAUGGCCCUUACGGGUUGGGCUACACACGUGCUACAAUGGUAGUGACAAUGAGAUGCAAGGUGGCGACGCUAAGCUAAACUCAAAAAUCUACCUCAGUUCGGAUUGCACUCUGCAACUCGAGUGCAUGAAGCUGGAAUCGCUAGUAAUCGUAGAUCAGCGUGCUACGGUGAAUACGUUCCCGGGUCUUGUACACACCGCCCGUCACACCAUGGAAGUUGGUUCUACCUUAAAGCAGAUUGCUAACCGCAAGGAGGCGUUUGACCAAGGUAUAGUCAGCGACUGGGGUG